AUGGAUCCUGGUUUAAAUCUAUAUGGCCCUAGGAUGGGACUGCGGCCGAUCAGGCUGUUGGUGAGGUAAUGGCCCACCAAACCUAUAACCGGUACGGGCUUUGAGAGGAGAAGCCCGGAGAUGGGCACUGAGACAAGGGCCCAGGUCCUAUGGGGCGCAGCAGGCGCGAAACCUUUGCAAUAGGCGAAAGCGUGACAGGGUUACUCUGAGUGAUUUCCGCUAAGGGGAUCUUUUGGCACCUCUAAAAAUGGCGCAGAAUAAGGGGUGGGCAAGUCUGGUGUCAGCCGCCGCGGUAAUACCAGCUCCCCGAGUGGUCGGGACGAUUAUUGGGCCUAAAGCAUCCGUAGCCGGUUGUGCAAGUCUUCCGUUAAAUCCAGCCGCUCAACGGAUGGGCUGCGGAGGAUACUACAGGACUAGGAGGCGGGAGAGGCAAGCGGUACUUAGUGGGUAGGGGUAAAAUCCUUUGAUCCAUUGAAGACCACCAGUGGCGAAGGCGGCUUGCCAGAACGCGCUCGACGGUGAGGGAUGAAAGCUGGGGGAGCAAACCGGAUUAGAUACCCGGGUAGUCCCAGCUGUAAACGAUGCAGACUAGGUGAUGCAAUAGCCAAGAGUCAGCCCAGUGUCGCAGGGAAGCCGUUA
RNAcentral lists this ribosomal RNA (639 nucleotides) under uncultured archaeon. Its description in RNAcentral is "bacterial SSU rRNA". It matches the Rfam family "Archaeal small subunit ribosomal RNA", at positions 175 to 817 of the family's 1478-position model. The record is from RNAcentral.